RNAcentral lists this ribosomal RNA (274 nucleotides) under uncultured bacterium. RNAcentral describes it as "partial 16S ribosomal RNA". It matches the Rfam family "Bacterial small subunit ribosomal RNA", at positions 523 to 796 of the family's 1533-position model. The record is from RNAcentral.
AUACGGAGGGUGCAAGCGUUACUCGGAAUCACUGGGCGUAAAGCGCGCGCAGGCGGCUAUUUAAGUUGGAUGUGAAAGCCUACGGCUCAACCGUAGAACUGCAUCCAAAACUAUUUAGCUAGAGUGCGGGAGAGGAAGAUGGAAUUAGUUGUGUAGGGGUAAAAUCCGUAGAGAUAACUAGGAAUACCAAAAGCGAAGGCAAUCUUCUGGAACACUACUGACGCUGAGGCGCGAAAGCGUGGGGAGCAAACGGGAUUAGAAACCCUAGUAGUCC